Molecule: non-coding RNA, 115 nt
Organism: Triticum aestivum (bread wheat)
Lineage: Eukaryota; Viridiplantae; Streptophyta; Magnoliopsida; Poales; Poaceae
Source: Rfam
AGAGUACUCCCUCCGUUCGGAAUUACUUGUCGCAGAAAUGGAUGUAUCUAGACGUAUUUUAGUUCUAGAUACAUCCAUUUCCGAGACAAGUAAUUCCGAACGGAGGGAGUAGAUA